This is a long non-coding RNA of Rosa rugosa (rugosa rose), 601 nucleotides long. RefSeq lists it as uncharacterized. The record is from RefSeq and is a predicted model, not a curated record. Lineage: Eukaryota; Viridiplantae; Streptophyta; Magnoliopsida; Rosales; Rosaceae. The transcript has 3 exons.
UUCUCUAAUGGCUUUGGUUGUAAUAGAUUGUAGAUCCCGCUGAGAUUGAGAAAAUGGUGGAAAAGGUGUUGUCAGAGAAUCCAAAGCAGCUGGACCAAUAUCGUGGUGGAAAGACUAAGCUGCAAGGUUAUUUUGCUGGCCAGAUAAUGAAACUAUCGAAAGGAAAAGCAAAUCCAGGGCUUCUAAACAAGAUUCUGUUAGAGAAAUUAAAUGCCAAAAGCUGAUACAGUUUGCUACCAGAUGAUGCAAUGACCUGGCCCCGAACUUCAAACCAGAUGUAUUCAACUCUAGUGAAUUUGAUCACACUGGAAGGGCCGUUACACUAUGUAACAUGAUUUAUACAGCGGAAGUCUAUUUAGACUUUGAUGUGUUAGUUGACAUCUCUCCUUCUGAACCAGUAAUUGACAGCCGCUUGAAAAUCUAUGUGCCCUAUCUGGAGAGCCUAGCUAGAAGUGAUUUGCUCCUGAUAUUGUUUUUCCUUUUUCUGUUUGAUUUUGGUCUAUAAUGUUAGCAAGUUGGACGGAUCAAUAUUGAAUUGUAACCUGACAUGCUCCUGCUAUAUAAUCACUUCCAGAUUUCAAGCUCCUAAUUUUGGAGUUCA